GCAUAUCAAUAAGCGUAGAACAUGACACCAACAGGGAUUGCCUCAGUAACGGCGAGUGAAGCGGCAACAGCUCAAAUUUGAAAUCUGGCUCUUUCAGGGUCCGAGUUGUAAUUUGUAGAAGAUGCUUCGGGUGUGGCUCCGGUCUAAGUUCCUUGGAACAGGACGUCAUAGAGGGUGAGAAUCCCGUAUGUGACUGGUUGCCUUCGCCCAUGUGAAGCUCUUUCGACGAGUCGAGUUGUUUGGGAAUGCAGCUCAAAAUGGGUGGUAAAUUUCAUCUAAAGCUAAAUAUUGGCCAGAGACCGAUAGCGCACAAGUAGAGUGAUCGAAAGAUGAAAAGCACUUUGGAAAGAGAGUUAAACAGUACGUGAAAUUGUUGAAAGGGAAGCGCUUGCAACCAGACUUGCGUGCGGUCGAUCAUCCGGUGUUCUCACCGGUGCACUCGAUCGUAUUCAGGCCAGCAUCGGUUUCGGUGGUUGGAUAAAGGCCUUGGGAAUGUAGCUUCUCUCGGGGAGUGUUAUAGCCCAAGGUGCAAUGCAGCCUACCGGGACCGAGGACCGCGCUUCGGCUAGGAUGCUGGCGUAAUGGUUGUAAGCGACCCGUCUUGAAACACGGACCAAGGAGUCUAACAUCUAUGCGAGUGUUUGGGUGUCAAACCCAUACGCGUAAUGAAAGUGAACGGAGGUGAGAACCCUUAAGGGUGCAUCAUCGACCGAUCCUGAUGUCUUCGGAUGGAUUUGAGUAAGAGCAUAGCUGUUGGGACCCGAAAGAUGGUGAACUAUGCCUGAAAUAGGGUGAAGACCAGAGGAAAACUCUGGUGGAGGCUCGCAGCGGUUCUGACGUGCAAAUCGAUCGUCAAAUUUGGGUAUAGCGGUCUAGAGACUAAUCUAACUCAUCUAGUAGCCCUGGCAUGCAUGCCCGAAAG
RNAcentral lists this ribosomal RNA (922 nucleotides) under Melanospora zamiae. RNAcentral's name for it is "LSU rRNA". It matches the Rfam family "Eukaryotic large subunit ribosomal RNA", at positions 38 to 967 of the family's 3401-position model. The record is from RNAcentral. Lineage: Eukaryota; Fungi; Ascomycota; Sordariomycetes; Coronophorales; Ceratostomataceae.